Molecule: long non-coding RNA, 203 nt
Organism: Brienomyrus brachyistius
Lineage: Eukaryota; Metazoa; Chordata; Actinopteri; Osteoglossiformes; Mormyridae
Exons: 3
Source: RefSeq, a predicted model, not a curated record
GAUCAGCAUAGCAAAUGCAGGUACACAGAACUAACUGCCGUAGGAUCAGUAUAGCAAAUGCAGGUACACAGAACUAACUGCCGUAGGAUCAGCAUAGCAAAUGCAGGUACACAGAGCUAACUGCCGUAGGAUCAGCAUAGCAAAUGCAGGUACACAGAGCUAACUGCCGUAGGAUCAGCAUAGCAAAUGCAGGUACACAGAGC